UCCUCUCUCCCAACCUCUGGUCGGGGCGUUGGACCGAGUUGUGGCAACGCAACUGGUCUCAAAGACAAUGACGGCGUCCGUGGGACCCUCUUCGCAACGAGUCUUUCGAGGCACGCGGGGAGUUGCAAGGCCCCACGGACCCGGUCACACCUUUUAUUUUCUCAA
RNAcentral lists this unclassified non-coding RNA (165 nucleotides) under uncultured Chaetothyriales. RNAcentral's name for it is "sequence contains ITS2". Lineage: Eukaryota; Fungi; Ascomycota; Eurotiomycetes; Chaetothyriales. The record is from RNAcentral.